This 207-nucleotide ribosomal RNA is filed under the name uncultured bacterium. Its description in RNAcentral is "partial 16S ribosomal RNA". It matches the Rfam family "Bacterial small subunit ribosomal RNA", at positions 568 to 774 of the family's 1533-position model. The record is from RNAcentral.
CUCGUAGGCGGCCAACUAAGUCAGACGUGAAAUCCCUCUGCUUAACCGGGGAACUGCGUCUGAUACUGGAUGGCUUGAGGUUGGGAGAGGGAUGCGGAAUUCCAGGUGUAGCGGUGAAAUGCGUAGAUAUCUGGAGGAACACCGGUGGCGAAGGCGGCAUCCUGGACCAAUUCUGACGCUGAGGAGCGAAAGCCAGGGGAGCAAACG